This 274-nucleotide ribosomal RNA is filed under the name uncultured bacterium. Its description in RNAcentral is "partial 16S ribosomal RNA". It matches the Rfam family "Bacterial small subunit ribosomal RNA", at positions 523 to 796 of the family's 1533-position model. The record is from RNAcentral.
AGACGGAGGGGGCGAGCGUUGUUCGGAAUUACUGGGCGUAAAGCGCGCGUAGGCGGCGAACCAAGUCGAGGGUGAAAGCCCGGGGCUCAACCCCGGAACGGCCUUCGAAACUGGUUUGCUAGAGUCCGGGAGAGGAGAGUGGAAUUCCCAGUGUAGAGGUGAAAUUCGUAGAUAUUGGGAAGAACACCAGUGGCGAAGGCGGCUCUCUGGUCCGGUACUGACGCUGAGGUGCGAAAGCGUGGGUAGCAAACAGGAUUAGAAACCCCGGUAGUCC